Molecule: long non-coding RNA, 374 nt
Organism: Phyllostomus discolor (pale spear-nosed bat)
Lineage: Eukaryota; Metazoa; Chordata; Mammalia; Chiroptera; Phyllostomidae
Exons: 2
Source: RefSeq, a predicted model, not a curated record
UAACUGAACGCUUCUCAGAGAUAGCAGAUUGUAAGUUUAGUAUACUACAAACAGAAGAAAAAAGGUUCCUGAAUGAAGAAAGAACUCUUUUGAGCUCAGAAUUCUAAGGAAAUAAUGGAGAACAUAUGCAGAUGCUUUUAAUAUCAGGCUCCUGUUUCUAGAAUUACAGUCUUAAAGCUGUCAAGACUAUUCAAGAACAUGGAUGAUCCAGAGCUUGUCUGGCAUAUAAAACAUGCUUUUUGAACAUUUAAGUAGGAGAAGCAGGAGAAUGCCAAACAUAGAAAGCCUGAAAUAUCCAAGCAAAGGGACAUUUCUUUUCUUCUCAGGUGUCAUUCUGUUUUUCCAAAAAUAAAUGAAUCUUAUUUUCUAAUCUA